RNAcentral lists this transfer RNA (82 nucleotides) under Phlebiopsis gigantea 11061_1 CR5-6. It matches the Rfam family "tRNA". Rfam says of the family: Transfer RNA (tRNA) molecules are approximately 80 nucleotides in length. The record is from Rfam by way of RNAcentral. Lineage: Eukaryota; Fungi; Basidiomycota; Agaricomycetes; Polyporales; Phanerochaetaceae.
GGCUCAAUGGUCUAGAGGUAAGAUACUUGCUUUGGGCGGUUCCAAUUGCAAGGGAUCCCGGGUUCGAAUCCCGGUUGAGCCC